GGGUGCGCGGUCCGAACGUCGGGCCGGCAGGCUUCAGCGUUGGUCGGGCCGCCAGCG
RNAcentral lists this non-coding RNA (57 nucleotides) under Methylorubrum extorquens. RNAcentral's name for it is "Methylobacterium chloromethanicum Li+-I sequence". It matches the Rfam family "nhaA-I RNA". Rfam says of the family: Acidobacteria, Alphaproteobacteria, Betaproteobacteria and Gammaproteobacteria, Verrucomicrobia, cand. division NC10. Downstream gene The record is from RNAcentral. RNAcentral also lists the same sequence under 1 other name. Lineage: Bacteria; Pseudomonadati; Pseudomonadota; Alphaproteobacteria; Hyphomicrobiales; Methylobacteriaceae.